CACAAGCAGUGGAGUAUGUGGUUUAAUUCGACGCAACGCGAAGAACCUUACCAAGUCUUGACAUCCUGCGACAGACAUAGAAAUAUGUUUUUCCUUCGGGACGCAGAGACAGGUGGUGCAUGGUUGUCGUCAGCUCGUGUCGUGAGAUGUUGGGUUAAGUCCCGCAACGAGCGCAACCCUUAUGGUCAGUUACUACGCAAGAGGACUCUGGCCAGACUGCCG
RNAcentral lists this ribosomal RNA (222 nucleotides) under uncultured bacterium. RNAcentral's name for it is "partial 16S ribosomal RNA". It matches the Rfam family "Bacterial small subunit ribosomal RNA", at positions 924 to 1154 of the family's 1533-position model. The record is from RNAcentral.